Molecule: long non-coding RNA, 336 nt
Organism: Cololabis saira (Pacific saury)
Lineage: Eukaryota; Metazoa; Chordata; Actinopteri; Beloniformes; Belonidae
Exons: 3
Source: RefSeq, a predicted model, not a curated record
UGAGCCUGGAGAGGUGUUUGACUCGCCUUCUGCAGCAGUAUGAGCCACUCACCAGCUACUUCAAGUCAUUAAAUGAGAAACAACCAAGGUUUAGAAGGCUGGUGGAUGCAUUUUCUAACCCAUUAACAGAGGUGUACCUCCUCUUCUACCAAGCAACAUUGCCAGCCUUCUCCACCUUAAACCUCCUACUCCAGAGAGAGAAGUCCUUAAUCUUCCUUCUACAUGAAGAGAUGACAAAGUUCAUCCGCAAGUUGUGUGCAAAGUUUCUGAAGCUUGCAGCACUGCAGAACCAAGAAGUUCAUGAAAUCCAAUACAAGGACCCAUCAAACCAACUGC